Molecule: ribosomal RNA, 318 nt
Filed under: uncultured Thermoprotei archaeon
Lineage: Archaea; Thermoproteati; Thermoproteota; Thermoprotei
Description: bacterial SSU rRNA
Rfam family: Archaeal small subunit ribosomal RNA
Source: RNAcentral
AGGCAACGAGCGAGACCCCUGCGUCUAGUUGCUACCAUUACUCUCUGGAGCAGUGGAGCGAAUUAGACGGACCGCCACAGUUAAUGUGGAGGAAGGAAGGGGCCACGGCAGGUCAGUAUGCCCCGAAACCCUAGGGCUACACGCGGGCUGCAAUGGUACUGACAAUGUGUUCCGAAUCCGAAAGGAGGAGGCAAUCAUCAAACAAUAUCUCAGUUAUGACUGAGGGCUGUAACUCGCCCUCACGAAUAUGGAAUCCCUAGUAACCGCGCGUCACUACCGCGCGGUGAAUACGUCCCUGCUCCUUGCACGAAUUCGCCG